This 358-nucleotide long non-coding RNA is filed under the name Ananas comosus (pineapple). RNAcentral describes it as "long non-coding RNA (ACOM_LNC002502)". The record is from RNAcentral. Lineage: Eukaryota; Viridiplantae; Streptophyta; Magnoliopsida; Poales; Bromeliaceae.
CAUCAUACAAUUUUAUCCCCAAACAAAGUGAAAUCUUUUUUCUUCUUUUUUAACUUGGUAAAUAUAAAAAUGUUUAAACAACCGUUGUACUCUAAAACGGUUGUUUCACAAAGUAUCAGAGUAGGAGGUCCUGACUUCGAGUCACGCCAGGCUCCUAGCAUAUUAUAAAUAAGCUCAAGUCAUGAGCUGACUAAAAAAAGUCUCGAGCCUAUACAUGAGGGAGAGUGUUAAAUAUAAAAAUAUUUAAAUACCGUUCUCUAACGGUUUAAGUUUUUAGAAUACAACGGUUGUUUCACGUAACUUUUUUUUAAGUUUUUUUUUUUUAAAUUUAUUUUUUUGUUUAGACAACCUUCACCAC